RNAcentral lists this transfer RNA (73 nucleotides) under Pelodiscus sinensis (Chinese soft-shelled turtle). It matches the Rfam family "tRNA". Rfam says of the family: Transfer RNA (tRNA) molecules are approximately 80 nucleotides in length. Their secondary structure includes four short double-helical elements and three loops (D, anti-codon, and T loops). Lineage: Eukaryota; Metazoa; Chordata; Testudines; Trionychidae. The record is from Rfam by way of RNAcentral.
GCCCUGGGGGCCUAAGGGAUAAGGCUUUGGCUUCUUAAGCCAGGGAUUGUGGGUUCAAGCCCUAUAGUGGGUG